GACGAACGCUGGCGGCGUGCUUAACACAUGCAAGUCGAACGGAAAGGCCCUGCUUUUGUGGGGUGCUCGAGUGGCGAACGGGUGAGUAACACGUGAGUAACCUGCCCUUGACUUUGGGAUAACUUCAGGAAACUGGGGCUAAUACCGGAUAGGAGCUCCUGCUGCAUGGUGGGGGUUGGAAAGUUUCGGCGGUUGGGGAUGGACUCGCGGCUUAUCAGCUUGUUGGUGGGGUAGUGGCUUACCAAGGCUUUGACGGGUAGCCGGCCUGAGAGGGUGACCGGCCACAUGGGGACGGGGUGCCGGCCCAGACCCCACGGGGGGGAAGAGGGGGGGAAUAUGGCAAAAGGGGCGGAACCCGAAGGAGGCAACCCCGGGUGCGGGAUGCGGGCCUUCGGGUGGAAAACCGCUUUCGCCUGUGACGAAGCGUGAGUGACGGUAAUGGGAAAAGAAGCCCCGGCAAACUACGU
This 467-nucleotide ribosomal RNA is filed under the name uncultured bacterium. RNAcentral describes it as "partial 16S ribosomal RNA". It matches the Rfam family "Bacterial small subunit ribosomal RNA", at positions 28 to 506 of the family's 1533-position model. The record is from RNAcentral.